RNAcentral lists this transfer RNA (59 nucleotides) under Lepilemur mustelinus (weasel lemur). RNAcentral describes it as "tRNA-Ser". Lineage: Eukaryota; Metazoa; Chordata; Mammalia; Primates; Lepilemuridae. The record is from RNAcentral.
GAGAGAGAAUGAAGGAACUGCUAAUUCUGCACCCCAUACAUAACAGUAUGGCUCCCUCA